RNAcentral lists this ribosomal RNA (527 nucleotides) under uncultured bacterium. Its description in RNAcentral is "bacterial SSU rRNA". It matches the Rfam family "Bacterial small subunit ribosomal RNA", at positions 355 to 899 of the family's 1533-position model. The record is from RNAcentral.
UGGGGAAUCUUGGACAAUGGGGGCAACCCUGAUCCAGCCAUGCCGCGUGAGUGAUGAAGGCCUUAGGGUCGUAAAGCUCUUUCGCCUGUGAAGAUAAUGACGGUAGCAGGUAAAGAAACCCCGGCUAACUCCGUGCCAGCAGCCGCGGUAAUACGGAGGGGGUUAGCGUUGUUCGGAAUUACUGGGCGUAAAGCGCACGUAGGCGGACCAGAAAGUUGGGGGUGAAAUCCCGGGGGCUCAACCCCGGAACUGCCUCCAAAACUAUUGGUCUAGAGUUCGAGAGAGGUGAGUGGAAUUCCAAGUGUAGAGGUGAAAUUCGUAGAUAUUUGGAGGAACACCAGUGGCGAAGGCGGCUCACUGGCUCGAUACUGACGCUGAGGUGCGAAAGUGUGGGGAGCAAACAGGAUUAGAUACCCUGGUAGUCCACACCGUAAAACGAUGAAUGCCAGUCGUCGGGUAGCAUGCUAUUCGGUGACACACCUAACGGUAUAAGUCAUCCGCUGGGGAGUACGGUCGCAAGAUUAAAA